CCUACGUGAGGCAGCAGUGAGGAAUAUUGGACAAUGGGCGCGAGCCUGAACCAGCCAAGUAGCGUGAAGGAUGACUGCCCUACGGGUUGUAAACUUCUUUUAUAAAGGAAUAAAGUGAGGCACGUGUGCCUUUUCGUAUGUACUUUAUGAAUAAGGAUCGGCUAACUCCGUGCCAGCAGCCGCGGUAAUACGGAGGAUCCGAGCGUUAUCCGGAUUUAUUGGGUUUAACGGGUGCGUAGGCGGAUCGUUAAGUCAGUGGUCAAAUUGAGGGGCUCAACCCCUUCCCGCCAUUGAAACUGGCGCUCUUGAGUGGAAGAGAAGUAUGCGGAAUGCGUGGUGUAGCGGUGAAAUGCAUAGAUAUCACGCAGAACCCCGAUUGCGAAGGCAGCAUGCCGGCUUCCGACUGACGCUGAAGCACGAAAGCGUGGGGAUCGAACAGGAUUAGAUACCCGAGUAGUC
Molecule: ribosomal RNA, 459 nt
Filed under: uncultured bacterium
Lineage: Bacteria
Description: partial 16S ribosomal RNA
Rfam family: Bacterial small subunit ribosomal RNA
Source: RNAcentral